RNAcentral lists this unclassified non-coding RNA (253 nucleotides) under uncultured delta proteobacterium. Its description in RNAcentral is "contains 16S-23S intergenic spacer region". It matches the Rfam family "Bacterial small subunit ribosomal RNA", at positions 524 to 776 of the family's 1533-position model. The record is from RNAcentral. Lineage: Bacteria; Deltaproteobacteria.
UACGGAGGGUGCAAGCGUUACUCGGAUUUACUGGGCGUAAAGAGCACGUAGGCGGUUUGGUAAGUCUGAUGUGAAAGCCCAUGACUCAAUCAUGGAAGUGCAUUGGAUACUACUAGACUAGAGUACAGGAGGGGUGAGCGGAAUUCCUGGUGUAGAGGUGAAAUUCGUAGAUAUCAGGAGGAACAACGGCGGCGAAGGCGGCUCACUGGACUGAAACUGACGCUGAGGUGCGAAAGCGUGGGGAGCAAACGGG